AUCCACUGAAUGGAUGCCUGCAGAUUGCUAAGUAUUUCAUCUAUAUCCCAAUUCGUGGACGGGCCAAUGAUUUUAGUUGAGCCAAAGGCUUUCAGCAGUUAAUAGCACAAAAUUGUGUCUUCCCCCAGCGGACAAGAAAAAUCCUAAAGCAAACCCAAUCAACAUGAGUGAAGCCCAGAACCUUUUCACCACCUUCGGCAUCCUGGCCAUCCUUCUUUUCUUCCUUUACGUCAUCUAUGCCGUCUUGUAAACGGAUAGCGGCGAGAUGAAGGUCCUUAGAGCAGGAUAAAAGGUAAUAAGCAGCAAGCAAACAACCCAAUCAAAAUGAAUGAGGCCAAGAGUUUGUUCACCACCUUCCUCAUCCUAGCCUUCCUGCUGUUCCUGCUCUAUGCCUUCUACGAAGCCGCCUUCUAGGACCCCAUCCCCAGUCACCAGACCAACACCACCAUUAUUAUUAUCACCCAUCAAGGAUAGCUUACAUGUUGAAUUUCAAUUCCAAGACGCCGGCCAUGCCAUCAUCUUGUGGUCCGGUGGAGCUUCUAGGACCCUACGCGUUUAAGAUGUUUAGCAUUUAAUGGAUUUCUACUAGUAACCUAAGCCAGAUGACGUCAAAGCCACCAGCUGCCGGAUUCGGAGGCUCGGCGAUCAUGAUGAGCACUUUGCUGAUCGAUGGGUAAACCCCUGCCAUGUGACCUCCGGCACAUUUCUUCCAUCUUAAAGAUCGAUCCAUUCGGAAUACUUUGCUGCCGGCCCUGGCGUCAUCUGCUCUAAUCAUAAAUUUUAUUUUGUGAUCUUUAUUAUUUUCGUUUGGCAAUGGAAUCUACUUAAUUUGCAAUUCAUAGACCAUGAUGUACAGUAUAGGCAAAUUGAGACCAACAGCAGCAAUCAAUGUGUAACACCAAGAAUUGGUUACUUCAUUGUUAAACAACACAUUUAUUUCGCAUUCGUAUUUGUUAAGGCAUACAUAAUGUAUAACUGCAUUUUACUCGACUUUUCCUAAAUUACUUGUGAAUAACAACCGCAAAGCAACAACAACAAACUGCAGGAAUAAAAACAAAAAGGAAACUAA
Long non-coding RNA from Drosophila subpulchrella, 1069 nucleotides. RefSeq lists it as uncharacterized. The transcript has 5 exons. NCBI's taxonomy places the organism in Eukaryota, Metazoa, Arthropoda, Insecta, Diptera, Drosophilidae. The record is from RefSeq and is a predicted model, not a curated record.